UGAGGAAUAUUGGUCAAUGGACGCAAGUCUGAACCAGCCAAGUAGCGUGCAGGAUGACGGCCCUAUGGGUUGUAAACUGCUUUUGUUUGGGAAUAAUCGACAUUACGUGUAAUGUUUUGCAUGUACCAUUCGAAUAAGGACCGGCUAAUUCCGUGCCAGCAGCCGCGGUAAUACGGAAGGUCCAGGCGUUAUCCGGAUUUAUUGGGUUUAAAGGGAGCGUAGGCCGUUUGGUAAGCGUGUUGUGAAAUGUAGGAGCUCAACUUCUAGAUUGCAGCGCGAACUGUCAGACUUGAGUGCGCACAACGUAGGCGGAAUUCAUGGUGUAGCGGUGAAAUGCUUAGAUAUAAUGAAGAACUCCGAUUGCGAAGGCAGCUUACGGGAGCGCAACUGACGCUGAAGCUCGAAGGUGCGGGUAUCGAACAGG
This 424-nucleotide ribosomal RNA is filed under the name Verrucomicrobiota bacterium. RNAcentral describes it as "Verrucomicrobia bacterium partial 16S ribosomal RNA". It matches the Rfam family "Bacterial small subunit ribosomal RNA", at positions 355 to 776 of the family's 1533-position model. Lineage: Bacteria; Pseudomonadati; Verrucomicrobiota. The record is from RNAcentral.